RNAcentral lists this ribosomal RNA (845 nucleotides) under Tetradesmus lagerheimii. Its description in RNAcentral is "partial 28S ribosomal RNA". It matches the Rfam family "Eukaryotic large subunit ribosomal RNA", at positions 87 to 954 of the family's 3401-position model. The record is from RNAcentral. Lineage: Eukaryota; Viridiplantae; Chlorophyta; Chlorophyceae; Sphaeropleales; Scenedesmaceae.
UGGUGAUCGCUAUGGCAUGCGCUCAGCGCAACGCUCUAUGUUGAAAUCCCCCCGGGGAAUUGUAGUCUAUAGAAGUACCCUCUGCGACGGGCUGAGCUCAAGUCUCCUGGAAAGGGGCGUCAGAGAGGGUGAGAACCCCGUAAGCUCAUGCUUUGUUGCCUCACGAGGUGCUUUCGGAGGUCGGGUUGCUUGGGAAUGCAGCCCAAAUUUGGUGGUAAAUCCCAUCUAAGGCUAAAUAUUGGCGAGAGACCGAUAGCGAACAAGUACCGUGAGGGAAAGAUGAAAAGAACUUUGAAAAGAGAGUUAAAAAGUGCUUGAAAUUGUUGAGGGGGAAGCGUUUGAAUGCUAGGGUGCGCCUAGGCUUAUGGGUACUUAACGGUGCUCUGUAUGUGCUAGGGGCUGGCCAGCAUGGGUUGGGCUAGCGGGAUAAAAACUGGGGUUGUUACCCGGUCUAUGCCGCUGGCUUGACCAAGGCGUGAAGACUGCCCUUGUCCUUCGGGAACUGCAGUCUCAAGAUGCUGGCAGAAGGCUUUCAACCGACCCGUCUUGAAACACGGACCAAGGAGUCUAACAUGUAUGCGAGUUGGUGGGUGGAAAACCCAUGAAGCGUAAGGAAACUGACUGGUGGGAUGGCCUGUGCCUGCACCAUCGACCGACCAUGCGUUUCUGCAAAAGGUUUGAGUGCGAGCAUACCUGUUGGGACCCGAAAGAUGGUGAACUAUGCCUGAGCAGGGUGAAGCCAGGUGAAAACCUGGUGGAGGCUCGUAGAUGUGCUGACGUGCAAAUCGCUUUUCGGACUUGGAGUAAUAGGGCGAAAGACUAAUCGCACUUUCCUAAGUAGAUCG